This 1390-nucleotide ribosomal RNA is filed under the name uncultured bacterium. Its description in RNAcentral is "bacterial SSU rRNA". It matches the Rfam family "Bacterial small subunit ribosomal RNA". The record is from RNAcentral.
AGAGUUUGAUCCUGGCUCAGGACGAACGCUGGCGGCACGCUUAACACAUGCAAGUCGAACGAAGAAAUUUCACCGUAGCUUGCUACACCGAGAUUUCUUAGUGGCGGACGGGUGAGUAACACGUGAGCAAUCUGCCUUUCAGAGGGGGAUACCAGUUGGAAACGACUGUUAACACCGCAUAACAUAAUUAAUUCGCAUGAAUUGAUUAUCAAAGAUUUAUCGCUGAAAGAUGAGCUCGCGUCUGAUUAGAUAGUUGGUGAGGUAACGGCUCACCAAGUCGACGAUCAGUAGCCGGACUGAGAGGUUGAACGGCCACAUUGGGACUGAGACACGGCCCAGACUCCUACGGGAGGCAGCAGUGGGGAAUAUUGCACAAUGGGCGCAAGCCUGAUGCAGCGAUGCCGCGUGAGGGAAGAAGGUUUUAGGAUUGUAAACCUCUGUCUUCAGGGACGAUAAUGACGGUACCUGAGGAGGAAGCUCCGGCUAACUACGUGCCAGCAGCCGCGGUAAUACGUAGGGAGCGAGCGUUGUCCGGAAUUACUGGGUGUAAAGGGAGUGUAGGCGGGACUGCAAGUCAGAUGUGAAAAUUAGGGGCUCAACCCCUGAACUGCAUUUGAAACUGUGGAUCUUGAGUGAAGUAGAGGUAAGCGGAAUUCCCAGUGUAGCGGUGAAAUGCGUAGAUAUUAGGAGGAACAUCAGUGGCGAAGGCGGCUUACUGGGCUUUUACUGACGCUGAGGCUCGAAAGCGUGGGGAGCAAACAGGAUUAGAUACCCUGGUAGUCCACGCUGUAAACGAUGAUUACUAGGUGUGGGGGGACUGACCCCUUCCGUGCCGCAGUUAACACAAUAAGUAUUCCACCUGGGGAGUACGACCGCAAGGUUGAAACUCAAAGGAAUUGACGGGGGCCCGCACAAGCAGUGGAUUAUGUGGUUUAAUUCGACGCAACGCGAAGAACCUUACCAGGAUUUGACAUCCAACUAACGAAGUAGAGAUACAUUAGGUGCCCUUCGGGGAAAGUUGAGACAGGUGGUGCAUGGUUGUCGUCAGCUCGUGCCGUGAGGUGUCGGCUUAAGUGCCAUAACGAGCGCAACCCCUAUCUUCAGUUACCAUCAGGUAAUGCUGGGGACUCUGGAGAGACUGCCACCGUAAGGUGUGAGGAAGGUGGGGAUGACGUCAAAUCAGCACGGCCCUUACGUCCGGGGCGACACACGUGUUACAAUGGGCGGUACAGAGGGUUGCUACCUGGUGACAGGAUGCUAAUCUCAAAAAGCCGUUCUCAGUUCGGAUCGGAGUCUGCAACUCGACUCCGUGAAGCUGGAUUCGCUAGUAAUCGCGCAUCAGCCAUGGCGCGGUGAAUACGUUCCCGGGCCUUGCACACACCGCCCGUCA